CAGGCUGCAACUCGCCUGCAUGAAGUUGGAAUUGCUAGUAAUCGCGAAUCAGAAUGUCGCGGUGAAUACGUUCCCGGGCCUUGUACACACCGCCCGUCACACCAUGAGAGUCGAUAACACCCGAAGCCUGUGAGCUAACCGCAAGGAGGCAGCAGUCGAAGGUGGGGUUGAUGAUUGGGGUGAAGUCGUAACAAGGUAGC
RNAcentral lists this ribosomal RNA (200 nucleotides) under uncultured bacterium. RNAcentral describes it as "partial 16S ribosomal RNA". It matches the Rfam family "Bacterial small subunit ribosomal RNA", at positions 1301 to 1500 of the family's 1533-position model. The record is from RNAcentral.